RNA transcript from Glycine soja, 5417 nucleotides. It is a transcript of the gene named flowering time control protein FPA-like, with no coding region annotated. The transcript is spliced from 8 exons. Lineage: Eukaryota; Viridiplantae; Streptophyta; Magnoliopsida; Fabales; Fabaceae. The record is from RefSeq and is a predicted model, not a curated record.
GUCUCAAGCAAAAUCAAAGUCUGACAUCUCUUUCAUUUCUAGGGUUUCAAACGCUCUCAAAAGUUCUCAACAGUACUUGAAUCAACUACUUUUGGGGAUUUCAAAAUCUAGUUAUCCAUUGUUGCUGUUUCCGGAUUACAAUGCCGCCUCCUUCGAAAUCCGUGGAAGGCGAGGAGUGGGGAACCCCCACCAACAACCUCUGGGUCGGGAAUCUGCCGACGGAGGUCACAGAUUCCGAUCUCAUGGAACUAUUCGCUCCGUACGGUUCUCUGGACUCACUCAUCUCCUACUCCUCGCGCACCUUCGCUUUCGUCUUGUUCAGGCGCAUCGAAGACGCUAAGGCAGCGAAAUCCAACUUGCAAGGCGCGUUGCUGCGCGGGUUUCAAAUCAGAAUCGAGUUUGCCAGACCGGCAAAGCCGUGCAAACAAUUGUGGGUGGGUGGUUUUAGUCCCACUGUUGCAAGGGAAGAUUUGGAAGCGGAAUUUCGCAAAUUCGGUAAGAUUGAGGAUUUUAAGUUCUUUAUAGACCGCGGCACUGCGUGUGUUGAGUUUCUCAAUCUGGAUGCUGCUGCUCGGGCGAUGAAAGUCAUGAACGGGAAGCGGUUAGGUGGACGCCAGAUUUGUGUAGAUUUCCUUCGAUCACAAUCUACGAGAAGAGAUUUUUUGGUUGAUCAUGGGCAGUUUCAGGCUAGACCACAGCAUUUACAACCUUCAAUUGGGAGGAAUAAUCAACCCAGUAAAAUCUUGUGGAUAGGUUUUCCUCCUUCCUUUCAAAUUGAUGAACAAAUGCUCCACAAUGCCAUGAUUUUAUUUGGUGAAAUUGAGAAAAUCAAGAGUUUUCCUUCUAGACAUUAUUCAUUUGUUGAAUUUAGAAGCAUUGAUGAAGCUCGGCGUGCCAAAGAGGGUCUUCAAGGACGGCUUUUUAAUGAUCCUCAAAUAACAAUUAUGUAUUCAAGCAGUGAGCUGGCACCUGGAAAAGAUUACCCUGGCUUUUAUCCUGGAGGUAAAGGCCCCAUACCUGAUGGAUUAGGUAAUGAGCAUCCAUUUCGACCGCUACAAACAGAUGUAUUUGGUCAUAAUCGUCCUAUGGUUCCAAAUAAUUUUCCUGGACAAUUGCCACCUGGACAUAAUGUCCCAAUGCGACCUUUUGGUUCUCAAGGUCUUGAACCUCUUAUCUCUGGUCCUGAUUUUAAUGAGAUGGGUCCAAGCUGGAAAAGGCCAUCUCCUCCUGCCCCAGGAAUGCUUCCUUCUCCUGUGCCUGGUAUUAGGCCUCCUACAAGAUCCACCUCCGGUGCAUGGGAUCUACUUGACAUAAACCAAUUUCAGAGAGAUUCUAAACGUUUGAGGAUAGAUGAUGCUUUGUUCAUUGGUGAUGCUCCAUUUCCUUUAAGGAAUAUAGAUGAUCGUGGAUUAGGAGUAGAACAGCCAUUUGCAAUUGAUUCAGUUAUUGAUGGAGGUGGUUCUGGUCCAAAAAGUCACCUUGGUCCAGUCGGCACUAGGAUCACAUCUGGAGUACCUGGUUCUGUCCAACCUGAUAUUGAUCAUAUAUGGCGUGGAAUUAUUGCAAAAGGGGGAACUCCUGUUUGUCGUGCUAGAUGUGUGCCUAUUGGGAAAGGGAUAGUGACUGAGAUUCCUGAUAUUGUAGAUUGUGCUGCCAGGACUGGAUUGGAUAUGCUAACAAAACACUAUGCUGAUGCAAUUGGUUUUGACAUUGUUUUCUUUCUCCCUGAUAGCGAAGAGGAUUUUGCUUCAUACACUGAAUUCCUUUGCUACCUCAAAGCAAAAAAUCGUGCUGGUGUUGCCAAGUUUGUUGAUAACACCACUUUAUUUUUGGUACCACCUUCUGAUUUCUUGACCAAGGUUUUGAAAGUCACAGGACCUGAACGCUUAUAUGGUGUGGUUCUUAAAUUUCCAUUAGUUCCAAGUAGCACAUCUAUGCAACAACCAAUGCAUUUGCCUUCUCCCUCUACUCAGUAUAUGCAACGGAUUCCUCCUUCACAAGCUGAAUAUGGUUCAAUAUUGGUAAAGGAGGAACAGGUUUUACCAAUGGAUUAUAACAGAUUGUUGCAUGAGGAUUCUAAGCAUCUGCCAAAACCACUUCAUCCAGCUACAAAUGUCCCCCCUUCAGCUCAUUCUGUUCCUUCUGAUUUUGCUCCUACUUAUACUGCUUCUGCAUCCCAAGCUGUUACAUGGACACCUGAACUUAUUGCAAGUUUAACUUCUUUACUCCCUGCAACUACGCAAUCAUCAACCACGGGUGGCCCAAUGGCAGUGGCUGGUCCCUCUAUUGUGAAGCCAUCUUUUCCUUCUGUUGCACCUAAUGAUGGAAAUCAAUCUCAUUUGUGGAAACAAGCUCAGCAAAUCCCUGAUCCUUCUAGUCAUCCUCCUCAACAAUUUGGGAGUAUUCAUAAUGUUCAAUAUCAACCUUAUCCACCUGCAUCUUCUACUGACCACCCUGCUCAAGUGGUCUCUGGCAGUUCUUGUUUCCAAGAUACCAAUUCCAGUCUCCAGCAGCCAGUUGCUGUUUCGUCUACACCCAUGACUAAUUUCAUCUUACCUCCUCAAAAUGGACAGGUAGCUGUGUCCCCUCAAGUCAGUCAACAGUAUCAGGUGGAAGUCCCCCAUGGCACUGAGAAAGACUAUGGAGUUGUUCAGGGAACAGAUGCCUCUGUUUUAUAUAGUUCUAAGGCGUUCCAACAACCUAAUAAUUUUAUUUCCUCAUCCAAUCAAGUUGCCAAUGCUGCAUCACAGCAACAAUCUGUGAUGCCCUUUACAGUGGACAAAGAUAAUUCAGUGCCCACAAAUCAGCAACCUCAACCUGCUUUAUUUGGAGUUGGCCAGGGAGUGUCAGAAUUGGAGGCUGAUAAGAACCAGAGGUACCAGUCAACACUACAGUUUGCUGCCAACCUUCUCCAGCAGAUACAACAACAGCAAACACAAGGAGGGCAUGGGCCAGGAAAUCAACAAUAAGAAUUGUUUUCUGGAAGCAUUCUAUGGAAAGACUUGGUGGUUCUGCAUGCUGUUUUCUUCCUAAUUUUGUGUGCAGGGAUUUUUUUAAUCUCUUUAGCAACCUGAAGGGCCAUUUAUGUAGACAUUUAUUUUAUUCUCUCUUUUAAGUUUUAACUGAAAAAAGAUAUUUUUGUGGUAACUAAAUAUUAUGUUGCCGUUUCAUUUUACUUUUGAUCGCGGAUUAGUUGGACCUGAAUAUUUCUCAGUUUCUUCUUCUGCUGAUGGUGCUACUACUUCUACUAUGCCAAGAGUCUCAGUUAUUGAAGAUUUACAACACAAUCAGUUGAUAUUCCCUAAAAUGCUGCUUGCUAAGUUUACAUGUUUCUCUCCCUCGUCAUCUUGGUUAUCUUCUUGGUGUGCUGCAUAGUCACUAAACAUUUGGAAAGCCUUAUCCAGUGUUGUCAAAUAGCGGCUAUUGCGGCACUAUCAAAUUUCUAUUCACAUUUAUUCUUCUGCUGGACAUGGCUUAAAAAUUUGGAAAAAGGAUUUAAUAUCCCAUUCCAAUACUGGUCCAGCAAUAUUAGGGAUGGGUUCUGUGCUUAGGGGGGGGGGAUUAGUGUAUAGAUAUUUUGUGAUUGGGUGCCUGGCCUACAGUCAGAUCUAUGGUUACCUAAUUCUUGCUGUACUCCACGAAAAUCGCAAUCACGAGCGCCUUACGCGUCGUCGAAUGUCAUUGUGUCGUGGCUGUUGCGUCGUUGGUUUCCGGCAAGGUUGAAUUUGGAUAGAAAUUGCAUUGACGACGUUUAGGGUUCAUUGGUUCAUCCUUUUGAAAGAAAGGAAACCGGGUCAGGUGUGGAUUUAGGUCGCGUCUGCAGUCUGCGCUGCACAUCAAUUCAGAGUUGUUUUGGGUUUGCGGACAAGUUUUUUGGCUUUGUUAAAACUCGCGUUGCGAAUCUUGUGUCUCCAUUCAGAAAUUGCAGAGCGGUGAAGUUUCUCAGCCAUGAUAGAGCAGAGUCGAGGUAGUUUCAGAUUUAGGGUUCCCAUGAAGGAGAUGACUGAUGUUUGGGCUUGCGGGUCUUGGACAAAUUGGGCUCAUGUGCCUUUUUAAAACAUAAUAAAUAUUCAGUUUUGUUUUUGUUUUAUUCUAUACUAAAACUCACGUGAGUUUUUAAACUAUGGAGUUGGAGUCAAAUGUGACUUGGGCUUUCUAAUUUUAAAAUAGGCCCAAUGUAGCCUUUUUAUUUCUAUUGCAUUCAACUUUUGAAGAUCAUUGCCACUUAAACAUCUCUACGCAAACCCUUCCUCCCAAAGCUCAGAACCCUCCAGAGUCCGGCCUUCUUCUCCACUCCUUUACUAGGACUACUUUAGUAUUUAGCUCUUUUUUUAAUGUUUCCAACAUAUUUUGUCUUGCAGAAUUUAACUUUUUAGUUAAUAUUAUGUCAAUGUUUAUUCAGCUUAUUUUUGUUUGCAUAUAGCUUAAUUUUUUUAUACAUAUUUAAUCGUCUUAUAUAUAUAUAUAUAUAUAUAUAUAUAUAUUAUAUUUCAACUGCUAUAGCAGAUUUUCAGCUAUCCACUAUUGACAACACUGGUUCUACUGUAAAUUUUUGUCCAUGGCAACCACAUAUGCUGUUCUAUAGUCUGUCAAAUGUUGCAGAUUCUGUUUAAAUCCUGUUAUAUAUAUAUAUAUAUAUAUAUAUAUAUAUAUAUAUAUGGUAAUGUGCUUUAGCUUUUCAUAUUGAUUGAUAAAUGUUAAACAUUUAAACCUAGGACACGUAAUUCUUGUAGUGUUUUAGGAUUUUGAUAUUUUUUUUCAUUAAGUGACUUUGUUUCGAAUAUAAUUUCAGAUGAUAAUAGAUACAUCCAACGACUAUGUAGUAUGUAGUAUGUAACAAUCCCCAGGGUACACAUCUUAGAAUGCUUGCAUAAUGGUUAAGAUGAGUCUAGUAAAUAUCUAAUUUGAAUAGACCUGUUUUUGCUUAUUCUUGUGCACUAGCAUUAAUUUUGUCCAUUAUCUUAUUUCUGAUUGGUUUAAUUUAUUUGUCUUUUAAUUCCACCAUAUGAUUGGCUUAAAUUAUUUCUCUAUCUCCAACAUUUGUCAUAGUGUUUCUGUGUUAUUUUUUUUUAAUUGCAUUGAUACCAAUGUUGUGACAAAAUGCCAUAUUACAAAUAUCCUGUACAAGUAGUUCAAGACUCGAUAUUUGUGACAGUAUUGAGUCAUGAACUUCACUAUACUGCAAUUGCAUGAUGAUAACUUGUUUUAAAUGCUGUUUCCCAUUAUUUUUAAGAUGUAGGCUUAGAGCUCUUUCUUUCCCCUAGAAGAUUAAAUAUAAGGUUGGGAUCUCAAUCACACUAUAACUUAUUUCAAUGAUUUGUAAUUUGAACUAUGUAAGGAUCUUUAAUGUGCUGUGAAGACACUUUCUGUUCAAAUUUGUAAAUUUAGUUACCGCUAUUUACUGCUUUACCAGCUAA